RNAcentral lists this ribosomal RNA (257 nucleotides) under uncultured bacterium. Its description in RNAcentral is "partial 16S ribosomal RNA". It matches the Rfam family "Bacterial small subunit ribosomal RNA", at positions 524 to 776 of the family's 1533-position model. The record is from RNAcentral.
GACGUAGGGCGCGAGCGUUGUCCGGAUUUAUUGGGCGUAAAGCGUACCGAUAGGUGGUUUUACAAGUCAGAAGUGAAAUCUCAAGGCUUAACCUUGAGUCUGUCUUUUGAAACUGUAAAACUAGAGGGGCAAAGAGGAAGCUGGAACGAACGGUGUAGUAGUGAAAUGCGUUGAUAUCGUUCGGAACACCAAUAGCGUAGGCAAGCUUCUGGGUGCCACCUGACACUGCUAGGACGAAAGCGUGGGGAGCGAAUGGG